AUCCAGUUGACGAGUCCCAAAUGAGACGAAACGACACGCGUCCUGGAU
RNAcentral lists this non-coding RNA (48 nucleotides) under Schistosoma margrebowiei. Lineage: Eukaryota; Metazoa; Platyhelminthes; Trematoda; Strigeidida; Schistosomatidae. The record is from RNAcentral.